Molecule: ribosomal RNA, 301 nt
Filed under: uncultured bacterium
Lineage: Bacteria
Description: partial 16S ribosomal RNA
Rfam family: Bacterial small subunit ribosomal RNA
Source: RNAcentral
CAGCCGCCGCGGUAAUACGAAGGGGGCUAGCGUUGUUCGGAAUUACUGGGCGUAAAGGGCGCGUAGGCGGCCAUUCAAGUUAGAUGUGAAAGCCCUGGGCUCAACCUAGGAAUUGCAUUUGAUACUGUUUGGCUUGAGUUCGGGAGAGGUGAGUGGAAUUCCCAGUGUAGAGGUGAAAUUCGUAGAUAUUGGGAAGAACACCAGUGGCGAAGGCGGCUCACUGGACCGACACUGACGCUGAGGCACGAAAGCGUGGGGAGCAAACAGGAUUAGAUACCCCAGUAGUCCCUGUCUCUUAUAC